Oryzias melastigma (Indian medaka) is the source of this 392-nucleotide long non-coding RNA. RefSeq lists it as uncharacterized. The transcript is spliced from 3 exons. The record is from RefSeq and is a predicted model, not a curated record. Lineage: Eukaryota; Metazoa; Chordata; Actinopteri; Beloniformes; Adrianichthyidae.
CUAUAGAAUAAACUUAACUCAAGAAGAAGAGGACAGUAUGAGGGAAAAAAACGAAGUUUUAGACCACAAAUAGUUACUUUAAAAUUAUUUUAUUAAAAGAAGCUGGAAAAUGAAAGCCUCGGUAAAUUGGUGGCUGUGCAGCGAUUAAGGGAGUGAUCAGAGCGGCUGAUUGCAGACCACUCACCUGUCCUCAUCCCAGAGGUCGGCGUCAUCAGGCUGCCCGGACAAACGGCUGCUGUCGCUCGUGCUACCAGAUGGCUAAUUGAACGCCCCGUGGCUUUCAGCGGGGAGAUAGAGGAGAUGAAAAAAAAGGAAGAGCAUCUCAGGGUUCUUGGCAAACAACGGUGACAGGGGCCGCCAUCUUUCCUGGAAGCCAACUGGAGGGCAAGUCA